AACACAAUUAACAUUCGAAAGUCAACUGGACACCGGUACAGAGUGAUAUACAAAUUUGCUUGCCUAGCAGACAAAAACACUGGACUCGGAUGUCGGGCAAUGGGUUAUUUCCACCCCUGGUAAUCAUCAAAUCUGAUAGUACAGACUACUACACUGUUUGAUUACUUUACAGGAACCUUGUGUAACCUGAAUAAUAAUUGGGGGUCCUCUGGACACCAUUUUGUAAAACCCUUGUACAGAUGGAUUUUUUGGUUUUACUAGUUUCUGAAUUGCAUUUGUGAAUCUAUUUAGAUCCUGAAACCUCACUGGGGUCAGGAAGGCGAGGUCUGAAAAACACUAACCACUCAACCCAGUUUUCUUUGACAUGAUAUAUUUGAAAAUAUUUGAAGGUGACAAUGUUUCGAAAUUACUGAUAGCAUUUGGUAGUAUGAUUUCAGUUAACCAAAGUAUUGAUAUCUGAUAUCUUUGCUCUAAAUUAGAUGCUUAAAAAAUAUUUAAUUUAAUUAAGAAUCAUCGUAGAUUGAAAACUAGAUACACCUGAAAAGUUUUGUGUUAUUUACUAAAUAGGAAGGUGUGUGGGAACAAGGCUGAACUUGUUAGACCAUAAAGCAUUGCAAGUACUGAUGUUAGAUGUUAAUGAGGGUCCUGGGGUCCUGUAGGGGUGCUGCUAUGUUAAUUUUAACAUGGAUUUGGCUUUGCUUGUUCUUGGACUGUGAUCUUAUGACUGUGAUUGUUGUAAGUCUGUUAAACUAUAGGCAUUACAUUCAUCUUAGUUCUAAUAUCCCUGGGGCGGAGGGGUAGCCUGAUGGUUAAAGCGUUCGCUUGUCAUCCCGAAGACCUGGGUUCGAUUCCCCACAUGAGUACAAUGUGUGAAGCUCAUUUCUGGUGUCCCCCGCCGUGAUAUUGCUGGAAUAUUGCUAAAAGUGGCGUAAGACCAAACUCACUCACUCUAAUAUCCCUUUGUGGAACGGAACACUGGGUGUGAUACUGUGCUAGUCUUCUUUAAUGACGAGAAUUAAGCAAUCUUAGUGCUAAGGUGAUUAUAACUUCAGUGUGUACCCCACACUAACAGCAAUCAAAUCUCUUUCAAUCAGUGAUAGUGAAACAAGGCUUUCAUCUAAGCAUCCGCAUUCUUUGUGUAAGUAACCUUGAUAAUAUUGUCAUUGUCGGCAAGCAAGUUAUCAGUUAGAUAGACAACCCUGGCUACAUGUUAAUCUUCCAAACUAUUUCUUUGUGUCUUCAAAACACACUGCUUAAAAACAUCUCGUUCCAAAUCAUAAAACAACAGAGACAUACAGACUGUAUAUUUCCUCACACCCAAUAUGGAAUAAUCUGUUUCUUCAAUAUUCACUAUAGCCUGAAUGUUUUAACGACAACAUUUCACUUCUACUACUCUGAUUAUUCUUAAUUUUGGUUAUCAUGGUAUUAACCUUAGUUUUCUACCUGGGGCGGUGGCUAGCCUAGUGGUUAAAGCAUUCGCUCAUCAAGGCGAAGACCUGGGUUUGAUUCCCCACAUUGGUACAAUGUGUGAAGCCCAUUUCUGAUGUUCCCGUUGUGAUAUUGCUGGCAUAUUGCUAAAAGCAGCAUAAAACUAAACUCACUCACUCACUCUAGCCUGAUUAUUCUUAAUUUUGUUUACCACGGUGAUAACCUUAGUUUUUUACCCUGUUUAUAUUGCACUGAUGAGCGACCAUGCCUGCCAUCAGCUUAAUGAAGUGCAGUAUCGACUUGGUGGAAUUUACAAAGUAGUUCGUAUUCUUAUUUUUACAGCUUUAUUACCUACUGAGAUUUGUAUCUGUGUGCUGGUUAGGAAAUAUUAUAAUGAAGUGCUAUAUUUAGUUCUCAUUUUGAAUAAAAAAAUUCUCGUGUUUUAUUUACUUUUUGGAUAUGGACUCGUUUUUCUGCAUUUCUCUUUACAUGUGAAGCUAAAAUUAAGUGGUCUUCACAUAGUAAAGCAUGACUUACUACUGAUUGUGGAUCGGAGUAUCAGUGAGAUAUGAUUUGUAUUGGAUAGUGCUCAACUGGUUGAUAGAUUGCAGUAGUUGUAAAUCAACUUGCCAUCGGAACUUUUGUUUGGGUUAUAUGACAGGAAAAAGGGGCCCAUUGAAGGUGUAGAGCUUUGAUACAAGGCAUCCUUGAGCCUGUAUUAUCACAAUGUAAAUUUAAAUGGACGCUUAGCUUCAGUUCCCGGGAUUAAAUCCGAGUCAUUUAGCUUCUCUGGGAGUGGACUGUUCGUAAUGUCAUGCUUUGACUAGACUGAUUUUCAUUGCGAUUUUUGCCAGAAAUUUGGCUUAACUUAGCUUUGUCAUGUGAAUGGGAAAGGAGGCCCUUUAAGGGUUUGUUUAUCAGUUACUUCAAAGUAAAUAUUAUUAUUUGUUGUACCAGUUGAGCACAGACUCACGUUUAGUGAGUGUCAAAAAGAUAAAGGUUUAACUGUGUGUCUUUUGUAAUAGGAUUAAUUGGUUUUCCAUUUAAUUUGAAUAACAUUGCCAAGCCUGAGAUAAUUGUUUUUCUAGUCUAUUCUUUUUGUUACAUUGAUGACCUCAGGGUGUGAAAAUAUUGUGUUAUUAAGUAGCAAGAUGUCAACUUGUUUUAUGGUGCUGUUUUCUGUAGGACAUGAUAGAGGCCCUGUGGCAUUUAUGACAGGGAUUACCUAAAUGGAUAAUCCUUCAGCUUAUUAGGUUCAGUACUAGAUUAUAUCUUCAUUGUCUGAUUUUGACAUGUGCCAGUAUAUACAGGGAUAUACUGCUUCUUAGUCUAAAUAAGAUUGCCUGUUGGAUAACUUUUUCCAGUGAACCCAGAGUUCUUUCCCUAAAGCUAAGGAAGGAAAAGACAACAUUAUUCAGUGGUAUAAUUGGGUUAUAGUUUUAGCAUUGUUUUUGUUUAUUAGUGGUAUCUAGGGGCCGAAAUAUAACCUGUAUAUUUCUGUAAGUGCCUGAGAGCUAAAAAUAUUAUUUGAUAUAUCAUAGCAGUAAGGAGUAUGUCGUUAGAAAAUAGAUUCAUUACUCUCAUGGUUAGUUGCAAAUUCGGCAGUAUCUUGUUUAAUUUACUGGGCUUCCAGUUUUCUGUGUAUUCCCCAGGGAGUUGAGAAUGAUGAAGAGCACAUGUGUUACGAACAUACCAACAGGCAAAACAAUGCACUCUUACAUAAUGUAUUUGUUAUUAUUGUUGUAUGUAAGUCUGAGGUAACCUACCGUCAUAGUGAGCAAGCAGUCGUGAAGAAUUUCGACCCACCACAAAGAAACUAGACUAUCUUUCAAACCUGUUUGCAGUGUACUUAUUGAGUCAAGUCGUACCAGAAUCACUACUUUGCAAUAUAUGAAAAUAUAGAUCUGAUAAAAUAUCAAUCUUUUUGUCAUAUCUUGACUUAGGCAAAAUUCCUACCACUACCGCAAGCAUUAGCAUUUAUAAACUGUCUUCAUUUCUUUCAAGAAUCAAUGUAUGUUAUUAUGAUAUUGUAAAAAUGCUGAUGUUUGUUCUUUGAAAACCAAAUUCUCUCAGUCUUAUGCCUGUUGCCUGGGUUCUGAUACAGAUGAGAGUUUGAGGACAAAGUGUCUAGUGGUAUAUUUUUUUUUUUGUUUUGUUUUUGAGAAUUAUAAAAUUAUUUGUUAUUGUAAUUACGGACCAACAUAUUGUAGAAUGUCCCAUACCAGUAUAAUCAAAAGUGCUGUGGUUGAAAAUGUGUUUACAUGAUUUUUGUGUGUUUAACAAACAAUAUUUAACCUGCAAUCAAAACUGAAUAAAGUUACAGUACAUUUAUAUAUUAUCCUGUACCUUUUGGCAUAUAGACUGUGAAACAGGUAAUGCUGAAAUUAAAUUUGUUCCGACCUUAUACAUAUAAUAAUGUAAAUGGAGAAUUAUAACUGUAGUUUUUGCUGAAGUUAGUUCACAACCAGCUUCUAACGUAUUUAGUGCUAGAUCCCUCUAUAGGAUAGUUGAUGUGUACUGUUAUGUAAUUAAAAUGAAAUCUUUAGAUAAUGACAUAUAUGUCAUAAUAGACAUAUUUUUAAAGAUGACAGAGACCUCAGGAGAGUGACACUGUGGAUUAUUUGUGUUUUGUAUGCUAUGAAAGUAAUGAUGUUGAUACAUUGUACAGUGAUGUAGUCCGUUACUUUGUUAUCUGUAUAUUGAACCUCACUCAAGCACCUGUCUUACAUUCAGUGCACAUCCAAAUUUAAAUAUUUUUUAAAACAAAAUCUGCAAGGUGUGCCUCAGUCUGUGAUAAAUUUGUGUAGAUAUUCUAGUCCCACCUGAGCUAUUUUUUGUGUAUUCAUUUUCUGAAACGUCCACUUUUAAGUCUGACAGUGCUGUGUUAUUUUGUAGCCUGUUUCUAGGCCCUAUUGUUUGCAAUGUCAAGACGCAAUAGUAAUGUGAUGCUGUAUGUGUAUUGUAUAUCUUCAGUAUAUAUUUGUACUAUAGAAUUUGGGGUAAACCAUCUUCAGAAUAUGUGGUUCCUUUGUUGGUUGGUUGGUUGUUUAAUGCCGCACUCAGCAAUAUUACAGCUAUAUGGCGGCGGUCUGUAAAUAAUGGAGUCUGGACCAGAGAAUCCAUUGACAGUUCCUUUAUACACCAAUACAUGAACUUCCAAUUUUGUUGCCAUAGUUUCAAGAGUAGACAUUCAGUUGCUUCAAGAAAUUGGAUAGUCAUGCUGAGUGGAUUUACAUUUCUCAUUACCCAUGUUUCACAAAAAAUACAGUUAAAAUGUAGCAAAAUGGGGUCGAGUGAUUCUUCUUUCAGAAACAGCAGUAAUCUAGACUUACCAACUAUUCUAGACUUGCAUGGGCUCCUUAGACUUUUUUAUGAUCUGUAGCAGACUUAUAGGUGGCCAACUUUUAGCUUAAAGGGACAAAUAGGUGGCCAACUUUUAGCUUAAAGGGACAAAUAGGUGGCCAAUAGACUUUUUUAUAAUCUGUAUUGCAGACUUAUAGGUGGCCAACUUUUAGCUAAAAGCGACCAAUAGGUGGCUAACUUUUAGCUAAAAACGACCAAUAGGUGGCCAACUUUUAGCUAAAAGCGCUCAGUAGGUGGUCAACUUUUAGCUAAAAGCGACCAAUAGGUGGCUAACUUUUAGCUAAAAACUACCAAUAGGUGGCAAACCUUUAGCUAAAAGCGCUCAGUAUGUGGCCAACUUUUAGCUAAAAGCGACCAAUAGGUGGCCAACUUUCAGCUAAAAGCGACCAAUUAGGUGGCCAGCCUCUGCCAAACUUGAACUCUACCAGCAAACUAAGGUGACACAGCUACCUUCUUGUUUCUGAAUAUGGUUUACCAGAGGUUAGUCCCAGCACUGUGUGUUACAAUCAGUUUGAUUCUUUGUAUGCAUUUAUAGAGGAAUACUGUCUCCAGAUCUAUUGUUUUGUUCAUUGUAAUAUUGUUUAUUUUGUACUGUUAGUCAUUCUUGCUCAAGGCAGAUAUAUGUGCAUUUUGUAGUUCUAGAUAAUUAUAGUCAUGGUGUAAUAACAUAUAGCUGAUGUUCAGUGGAACACAUCUGUCUGAAUGGAACUCAAAUCUUGAAAGGAAGUGAUUCCCUGCUGUGAAGUUCUGAAAUGACAUUCUCAUGUAGUGAGCAUCAUAUACAACUGAACAAAGUUAUUUGUCACAGAUUUGUUUCAUCUUACACAGCUUGACAGACUUGUAGUAAUAGGAAAGAACUGUGUGAUCCUGAACUGACUGAUUAGUAUGUGUUGAUGCUAAAUCAAAACAACUUCACCCUUUGUGAAGACUUCAAUCUGAGGUUGCUUCAGGUGAACUUUAAUCAACCAGUGAGCAUUGAGGCUUGUAAAGUGCCAUCAGAGCUUUCAGAACAGCACAUCUGAUUUCAGUAUCUCACAAAUAUAUAUAUACAUGCAGGCAUUCCAAACUGAAAUAUUACAAAGGUCUUUGCUUUGUUUUAUAAACCCUAUUGUUUCCUAUGGCAUCUUCACCCAUGAAUAGGGGUGGUGGGGUAGCCUAAUGGUUAAAGCGUUGGCUCGUCACGCCGAAGACCCGGUUCGAAUCCCCACAUGGGUACAAUGUGUGAAGCCCAUUUCAGGUGUACCCCCGCCAUGAUGUUGCUGGAAUAUUGCUAAAAGCGGCGUAAAACCAAACUCAGUCAGUCAGUCAGUCACCCAUGAAUAUGCUCGAUGAAAGAAAUAUUUAUCUUCUGUAUGGGUUUUCUUUUCUGAAAUUAGUUUCAUAAUCAAGGUGGCACAGAAAUGAAAGUCAUUUAUAAAGCUGAUAACGUAUUGGCUCAAUAAUUAGAUUGUGCGGUCAAAAUUUGCUCAUGGUCCACCUGGUGUGACUUCUUAUUAAAGUGGUUUUGCCGACACUCAUGCAGAGAGGUUGUUCCAUCAUGGAAAUACAUGGCUUGUGGAAAGGUCUUCUCUUUUUACCAGAGGAUGUAGCAGUCCUAUCAGAUUAGUACAUCUAGAGGUGAGAAGAAUCUCCACAAACCAUAUACACCCAUGUUGAUGCAGGGAAUCAAAAACACUAGAUAUUCAAAAUGUCUUUGCCUUAGAUUGUAGUUUCUCUUUGAAAUGCAGAACAGAGAACUGCUGCUUUCAAACACUGAAUAGGUUAUAUGAGUGACAAACCAAAGAUAUUUGAUUUAUUUAUGCAAACACAUAUUUCUUGCCAUCAGUUAAAGUCUGUGUGAAGUUAAUGUUUAAGUUGCUUGUAACCUGAAUAUAUUUUGUCAAACAGAAUUCCAUAAUUGUGAUCUUCACAAGCCAUUGCCCAGUGUAUUCAUUUAUUGAGCAUGAUAUAACAUAUAUCAGAAAUAAACCUAUACAUUCA
Long non-coding RNA from Haliotis rubra (blacklip abalone), 6771 nucleotides. RefSeq lists it as uncharacterized. The transcript is spliced from 2 exons. The record is from RefSeq and is a predicted model, not a curated record. Lineage: Eukaryota; Metazoa; Mollusca; Gastropoda; Lepetellida; Haliotidae.